This 2432-nucleotide small RNA is filed under the name Pan troglodytes (chimpanzee). RNAcentral's name for it is "retained intron". The record is from RNAcentral. Lineage: Eukaryota; Metazoa; Chordata; Mammalia; Primates; Hominidae.
GAAGGUAAAAAAAAAGAGGGAGGUCUGAGAAAUAGAAAUAUCAGAGGAAGGAAAUAAAGGAGGGUGAGAGUAAAUUCUCUUUUAGCAUUCAGAUUCCACAGAUUCCACAAAUCACAUUUCUUUUUUUACCAACUAAGGAAAAAUAACACUUGACCUAACAUUUCAUUGCAGUUAGCUAAAGGAUGCUAGAAAAACUAUGUUUCAGUGGUUUGCUCUAAUUUCUUCAGGAAUAGAGAAAAGUGACAAAAAGAUCAGAGAAGAGAAGAAAGGAAACUAUCAGAAAAAUACAGAAUUGGAGUAGGAUAUAACAUAUUUGGGUUGAAGGUAAAAUUUUAUAUUGUAAUCUUAAGUAUCUUGCUACUUCAGUUUGGUCCCUGGAACAGCAGCAUCAGAAUCUGCCGAGGGCUUGUUAAAAAGGCAGAAUCUCAGGUCCCAUCCCAGACUCACUGAAUCAGAAUAUAAAUACUGACAAGAUGCCCCGGGAUUCAUAUGCACAGUAGAGCUGGCGAAGUUCCAUUGUAGCCUGUGAUUGUUUUCUGCAACUUAGUAUUUCUGAGUUUUCCCAAGGAAGAAAAUCCAGGCCUUAGCUUCUGGCAGACUUGUGUUUCUCCUUUACUUACUAGCUGCAUGACUCAUGAGCAAGGAAAUCAAACUUUAUGUGCCUGAGUUUCCUCAUCUAUAAAAUGGAGACUAUAAUAAUCAUCUCCUAGGCUUGUUUUGAGGAUGUUCAAUAAAUGCUGCUUUCACUCCUCUAUUUACAGACCUGCCGCAGACAAUUCUGCUAGCAGCCUUUGUGCUAUUAUCUGUUUUCUAAACUUAGUAAUUGAGUGUGAUCUGGAGACUAAACUCUGAAAUAAAUAAGCUGAUUAUUUAUUUAUUUUCUCAAAACAACAGAAUACGAUUUAGCAAAUUACUUCUUAAGAUACUAUUUUACAUUUCUAUAUUCUCCUACCCUGAGUUGAUGUGUGAGCCGUAUGUCACUUUCAUAAAGCCAGGUAUACAUUAUGGACAGGUAAGUAAAAAACAUAUUAUUUAUUCUACGUUUUUGUCCAAGAAUUUUAAAUUUCAACUGUUGCGCGUGUGUUGGUAAUGUAAAACAAACUCAGUACAGUAGUAUUCAGUACAGUAUUUAAGCCCCUGUACUUAAACAUAUUCCUCGUACCAAUGAAGUUACAUGAAAAGCAAAUUUGUGUGAGAUAUCGUAGAUGGAAGUAAAUUAGUCUUUAUGUUCCCCACAAAUUGAAAUGCAUUUCAAAAACUCUGUGUGUGUAUGUGUGUGUGUGACAGAGUGUGUGUGAGAGAGAGACAGAGAUACGCUUUGGUUGCCUCCAUAAGCUGGCUGCUAUGAUUAAUAAGACCAAGUUUUCUAAAGAAAAUGAGAUCAUAACAAAAGCCCUCUUUAUGCCUAUCUUUUAUCAGGGGCAAAAAGGAAAGAGACAAAACAGCAUGAAAUGAUGAGACCAAGUGAUGAAAAUUCAUUCACAAUGAUUGCUUUCAAGAGUAAUUUCUCUUGGGUAAUUCAGCAGCCUGUUACUAUGGCUCUCUGGAGUGAUAACUAAUGUAAAUGAAGCCUCUAAAAGUGGAUUAUCCUGACAAGAAUAUACUCAGCCAAUAAUGCAACAGAAAUCCAUUCAAAGCAUUCGGGAAAAAUUCAAAAGAAUAAAUAUUCUUUUUUUUUUUUUUAAAGUUAAUGACCUACGAUCCAUUUCUUCCCUGACUAACAAGCAGCAAGCACUUAAAAAUAUCCAGCCAGGAUGAAAUAGAAACCCACCUGACUUGUUAAUAUUUUUGUUUGGUCCCAGGGACUCAGAUUCUAAGCCAAAUUCUUUGAAUGAUCUUGGCAAAUGUCUCGAAUUAUUUUUGCCAACUUUUCUUUAUCUUGGAAAAAAAGUUUCAUGAAUGGGUGUCAAAAUUGAUUAGUUUUAAAAACCUUUCUUGCAGAUACAUAUGGCACCCUAAAACUGUAUUAGAAAAAAAGUAAGUACUCUGUAGUGUGAAAAAUUCUUAAAGGACACCCUCUUUUACAAACUCACAAAAACAGCCUUUGGAAUACCCACAUGAAGUAGCUGUUGUUAUUGCUUUCUAUAUACCUACAUCUUGUCUAUUAUAAAAAGACUGGUUUUUGGCAGGUGUGGUGGCUCACACCUGUAAUUCCAGCACUUUGGGAGGCCAAGGCGGGCGGAUCACCUGAGAUCAGGAGUUCAGGACCAGCCUGAUCAAUAUGGUGAAACCCAGUCUUUACUAAAAAUACAAAAAUCACCCGGGUGUGGUGACGGGCACCUGUAGUCCCAGCUACUCGGGUAGCUGAGGCAGGAGAAUCACUUGAACUCAGGAGUCAGAGGUUGCAGUGAGCUGAGAUCAUGCCACUGCACUCCAGCCUGGGUGACAGAGCAAGACUCCAUCUCAAAAAAAAAAAACCAAAAAAAAAAAAA